Molecule: antisense RNA, 91 nt
Filed under: Staphylococcus sp. 8AQ
Lineage: Bacteria; Bacillati; Bacillota; Bacilli; Caryophanales; Staphylococcaceae
Description: fstAT
Rfam family: Fst antitoxin sRNA
About the family: It is located on the opposite strand of SprA1 sRNA.
Source: RNAcentral
GCCUAUAGUUAGGGGAUUUUUAGUGUGGCUAAAGUCACCUAUUUAUCGUUGCGUUUACGUUGCCAAUGCGUAAACAAAGCAACGAUGCAGC